This 465-nucleotide ribosomal RNA is filed under the name Vreelandella stevensii. Its description in RNAcentral is "partial 16S ribosomal RNA". It matches the Rfam family "Bacterial small subunit ribosomal RNA", at positions 338 to 795 of the family's 1533-position model. The record is from RNAcentral. Lineage: Bacteria; Pseudomonadati; Pseudomonadota; Gammaproteobacteria; Oceanospirillales; Halomonadaceae.
CCUACGGGAGGCAGCAGUGGGGAAUAUUGGACAAUGGGGGCAACCCUGAUCCAGCCAUGCCGCGUGUGUGAAGAAGGCCCUCGGGUUGUAAAGCACUUUCAGUGAGGAAGAACGCCUGGUGGUUAAUACCCAUCAGGAAAGACAUCACUCACAGAAGAAGCACCGGCUAACUCCGUGCCAGCAGCCGCGGUAAUACGGAGGGUGCGAGCGUUAAUCGGAAUUACUGGGCGUAAAGCGCGCGUAGGUGGCUUGAUAAGCCGGUUGUGAAAGCCCCGGGCUCAACCUGGGAACGGCAUCCGGAACUGUCAAGCUAGAGUGCAGGAGAGGAAGGUAGAAUUCCCGGUGUAGCGGUGAAAUGCGUAGAGAUCGGGAGGAAUACCAGUGGCGAAGGCGGCCUUCUGGACUGACACUGACACUGAGGUGCGAAAGCGUGGGUAGCAAACAGGAUGAGAUACCCCUGUAGUC